Molecule: long non-coding RNA, 196 nt
Organism: Callithrix jacchus (white-tufted-ear marmoset)
Lineage: Eukaryota; Metazoa; Chordata; Mammalia; Primates; Cebidae
Source: Ensembl
UAUGGUAGAAUGACUUAUAGUCCUUUGGGUAUCUACCCAGUAAUGAGAUUGCUGGGUUGAAUGGUAAUUCUUUUUUUAGCUCUUAUAGGAAUCACCACACUGUCUUCCACAUGGCUGAACUAUUUACAGUCCCAACAACGGUGUGUUUAUUGAAAUAUAAUUGACAAAAAUUGCUACAAAGGAAAUUAAAUACCUA